Molecule: ribosomal RNA, 253 nt
Filed under: uncultured bacterium
Lineage: Bacteria
Description: partial 16S ribosomal RNA
Rfam family: Bacterial small subunit ribosomal RNA
Source: RNAcentral
UACGGAGGAUCCGAGCGUUAUCCGGAUUUAUUGGGUUUAAAGGGAGCGUAGGCGGGUUGUUAAGUCAGUUGUGAAAGUUUGCGGCUCAACCGUAAAACUGCAGUUGAUACUGGCAUCCUUGAGUACAGUAGAGGUAGGCGGAAUUCGUGGUGUAGCGGUGAAAUGCUUAGAUAUCACGAAGAACUCCGAUUGCGAAGGCAGCCUGCUGGACUGUAACUGACGCUGAUGCUCGAAAGUGUGGGUAUCAAACAGG